This 75-nucleotide transfer RNA is filed under the name Massilicoli timonensis. RNAcentral describes it as "tRNA-Arg". It matches the Rfam family "tRNA". From Rfam's summary of the family: Transfer RNA (tRNA) molecules are approximately 80 nucleotides in length. Their secondary structure includes four short double-helical elements and three loops (D, anti-codon, and T loops). Further hydrogen bonds mediate the characteristic L-shaped molecular structure. tRNAs have two regions of fundamental functional importance: the anti-codon, which is responsible for specific mRNA codon recognition, and the 3' end, to which the tRNAs corresponding amino acid is attached (by aminoacyl-tRNA synthetases). tRNAs cope with the degeneracy of the genetic code in two manners: having more than one tRNA (with a specific anti-codon) for a particular amino acid; and 'wobble' base-pairing, i.e. permitting non-standard base-pairing at the 3rd anti-codon position. The record is from RNAcentral. RNAcentral also lists the same sequence under 1 other name. Lineage: Bacteria; Bacillati; Bacillota; Erysipelotrichia; Erysipelotrichales; Erysipelotrichaceae.
CCGCUUAUAGUAUAAGGGAUAGUACGAACCCCUCCUAAGGGUUAGAUUCAGGUUCGAGUCCUGAUAAGCGGGCCA